UCGAUUGAGCCAGCAGUCUCUGAAAUCGUUGGUGCAGCCGGUGAUUUUUUCUCCUUCGGGCAUCCCAGUGUUAAGGUGUUCGUGAAUCGGUGAUUUCGAGAUGGGUGGUAGUUUUGAAAAAAAAUUGAGGGAGGGGAUAGUUUUGAAAAUAUGAAAUAAAAAAAUAUUAAAAAAAAAUCCGUUUAUACGUGAGGAGGAAUACAAGAAGUCCUUUUCGAGGGG
Molecule: long non-coding RNA, 222 nt
Filed under: Elaeis guineensis (African oil palm)
Lineage: Eukaryota; Viridiplantae; Streptophyta; Magnoliopsida; Arecales; Arecaceae
Description: long non-coding RNA (EGUI_LNC075503)
Source: RNAcentral